GACAGAGGUGCCGAGCGUUACUCGGAAUUACUGGGCGUAAAGCGUGCGUAGGUGGUUUGUUAAGUCUGUUGUGAAAGCCCCGGGCUCAACCUGGGAAUGGCAAUGGAUACUGGCAGGCUAGAGUGCGGUAGAGGGUAGUGGAAUUCCCGGUGUAGCGGUGAAAUGCGUAGAGAUCGGGAGGAACACCAGUGGCGAAGGCGGCUACCUGGACCAGCACUGACACUGAGGCACGAAAGCGUGGGGAGCAAACAGG
This 253-nucleotide ribosomal RNA is filed under the name uncultured bacterium. RNAcentral's name for it is "partial 16S ribosomal RNA". It matches the Rfam family "Bacterial small subunit ribosomal RNA", at positions 524 to 776 of the family's 1533-position model. The record is from RNAcentral.